UGAGGCUGGCCUCCUGGUAAUGUUUGUUGUGAAGCACUGUUGUAUGCAGACUCUGAUUCAUCAACUUGGGAAUCUUCGAACUCGGUGAUGAAAAAUAAAAAAGAAAACCAACAAAACAGGAAGGAAAACAGUGAAAACUCUGAUGCUCCUUGGGGAAUAUGAAGAGACACAGAUUUCAUUUAAGAUAACAAAAAAAAAAAAAAGAGAGAAGAAAUAAAAACAAAAACACCACCACCACCAACAGAAAGCAGCAGAAGUACCAAGAGUCGGAUGGGUGAAUGCUGCUCUUCAGAGCAGUCCCUGCAAUGGGGACUCCCCAGCCGUGAGGUCCCCAGCUCCCGCAGCAGCUCGGCAGCUCCCUCCCCUCCUCCACUUCUGCACUACGAUUCAUAUGGUGACUGCUGCAGUAAAAUCAGGAGCAAUGAAGACUAUAUAUAAAAGGGCUGGAGUAAAGGCAAGUGGCACCUCAAUUCUACUUCUGAGUAAGCCUUUUGUUUUUAGCAAAACAGGCACAUCAGUGCUGCUCCAGCCAGCCACAGGCUCAGCUUUCCCUGUGGAAGCUGGCAAGGAGCAGCAGGUCUGAGCCUCAGAACUGCAGCAGAGAGGAGUUCCACCUCCUCCUGCUGGUGGCCAACCUUGGCUGUUGGCCUUCCUCUGGGGACGGAGGCAUCCCCAUGCUCCGCUGGUCUGCCUAUAGCGAUACAGAUGGGUGACUGGUGAGACCGGGCUGGGCCAGAGCCAGAGGCAGUUGUGCUGGUACAGAGCAGCGGCCGCUGCCUGGAGUUGGG
RNAcentral lists this long non-coding RNA (788 nucleotides) under Gallus gallus (chicken). RNAcentral's name for it is "long non-coding RNA NONGGAT004151". The record is from RNAcentral. Lineage: Eukaryota; Metazoa; Chordata; Aves; Galliformes; Phasianidae.